CCAAAGAUAGCUGCAAGGUGAAAAAGAGGCUCUACAUUUCCUUGGUUUUUUGGUGAAACUCACAAAUUUGUGGAGAUUGUCUUUGCUCCAGGGUUUUUCAUCUCUCUCUCUUUCUCUCUCUCUCUCUCUCUCUCUCUCUCUCACUCUCAUUCUCUUUCUCUCUCUCUUUUGCCUUCUGGGCUAUUUUUACUAUUUUAUUUUAUAUUUGGCAUUAUAAAUGUGUUUUGUAAUGGGAAGGCAAGGUAAGAAACAAGCAAUUGUUUAGAAAAACAGAAAAGUUAAAAAAAAAAGAGAAUACAGCCUCACAUACCAUAUCUAUUUAUGUGUAUACAUAUACAUGAGAGUAUACUUAUGUAUGUAAGUAAUAUCAGGUAUUUUUCAUUACUCUGUUCUCCAAAAAACAUUAUUUAGUAAAAGAUAAUAAACAGCUCUUGAACAGUGGGAUAUAGACUAGUGAAAACAGUUUACUGAAAUUAAUGAUGCUGGAUUGAACCAAACCUUCCUCCCUUUGGAAUUAGUGCCAGACAUAGUUUUCCUGAACCCUGUCCAACUGCCUGAGCGACAGACAAUUUUCAUUCUAUUUGUGCUAAAGGCUUAUGACUAGUGCUGGAAAAUGAAGCCCUUGCCCUUGAUCUCAGUGCAGAUUAAAAAAAAAAAAAAAAAAAAAGCAGAACUGUGCCAAUUUGUUUCCUCUGCCAGUAGAAGACCUUGUGCUCUGGGUAAUGCAAAACAAUAAAAAGUUCACAUGAAGACUCUCCACUGAAAGGAAACCCACCAAGAGCCAUGUAUCUCUGCUAUACUCAUCAGCCAGCUUCCGAGAUUCUCACAAUGUCAUCAAAAUGCAGAGGGUGCAGUCACCAAUUCAUCUGUCAUAUUGUGGUUUUCAAAGCUGAACUGAGAAUGCUCUGAAAGGAAUUCGAAGUUGAAGAGCUGCAGGAAGACCUAGGUAGGGAAUUACAUUUUCAUUGUGGCUAACUUUCAAUGACACUGAAGAUGUCUCACUCGGAAGAUCAUCAGACCCACACCUCCUCUUCUACUUCAACAGACAACGCUUCAUUCAUUUGAUGUAGAAACUCUGAAGAAAGUAAUUUUCAUUUUGAAAUAAGUGUGAAUUCUUUUUAUCUUGAGAUUUAACAACUGUUGACAAUGCU
This 1151-nucleotide long non-coding RNA is filed under the name Lonchura striata (white-rumped munia). RNAcentral describes it as "domestica (Bengalese finch) lncRNA (ENSLSDG00000002863.1)". Lineage: Eukaryota; Metazoa; Chordata; Aves; Passeriformes; Estrildidae. The record is from RNAcentral.